GACGAACGCUGGCGGUGUGCCUAACACAUGCAAGUCGAGCGGAGCUGUCGGAGCUUGCUUUGACAGCUUAGUGGCGAACGGGUGAGUAACGCGUGAGCAACCUGCCCUUGAGAGGGGGAUAACAUCGGGAAACCGAUGCUAAUACCGCAUAAAAUAUGCAGAUGGCAUCAUUGGCAUAUCAAAGGAGAAAUCCGCUCAAGGAUGGGCUCGCGUCCAAUUAGCUAGUUGGCGGGGUAACGGCCCACCAAGGCGACGAUUGGUAGCCGAACUGAGAGGUUGAUCGGCCACAUUGGGACUGAGACACGGCCCAGACUCCUACGGGAGGCAGCAGUGGGGAAUAUUGGGCAAUGGGCGAAAGCCUGACCCAGCGACGCCGCGUGAAGGAUGAAGGUCUUCGGAUUGUAAACUUCUUUGAUCAGGGAAGAAAGAAUGACGGUACCUGAAAAACAGCCACGGCUAACUACGUGCCAGCAGCCGCGGUAAUACGU
Molecule: ribosomal RNA, 488 nt
Filed under: uncultured bacterium
Lineage: Bacteria
Description: bacterial SSU rRNA
Rfam family: Bacterial small subunit ribosomal RNA
Source: RNAcentral